UGCGAACUCCUACGGGAGGCAGCAGUGAGGAAUAUUGGUCAAUGGGCGAGAGCCUGAACCAGCCAAGUAGCGUGCAGGAUGACGGCCCUAUGGGUUGUAAACUGCUUUUAUGCGGGGAUAAAGUGAGGGACGUGUCCUUCAUUGCAGGUACCGCAUGAAUAAGGACCGGCUAAUUCCGUGCCAGCAGCCGCGGUAAUACGGAAGGUCCGGGCGUUAUCCGGAUUUAUUGGGUUUAAAGGGAGCGUAGGCCGUGGAUUAAGCGUGUUGUGAAAUGCAGGUGCUCAACGUCUGCACUGCAGCGCGAACUGGUUCACUUGAGUGUGCGCAACGCAGGCGGAAUUCGUCGUGUAGCGGUGAAAUGCUUAGAUAUGACGAAGAACUCCGAUUGCGAAGGCAGCUUGCGGGAGCACAACUGACGCUGAAGCUCGAAAGUGCGGGUAUCGAACAGGAUUAGAUACCCUUGUAGUCCU
This 470-nucleotide ribosomal RNA is filed under the name uncultured bacterium. RNAcentral's name for it is "bacterial SSU rRNA". It matches the Rfam family "Bacterial small subunit ribosomal RNA", at positions 330 to 797 of the family's 1533-position model. The record is from RNAcentral.